Long non-coding RNA from Canis lupus familiaris (dog), 2262 nucleotides. RefSeq lists it as uncharacterized. The transcript has 3 exons. The record is from RefSeq and is a predicted model, not a curated record. NCBI's taxonomy places the organism in Eukaryota, Metazoa, Chordata, Mammalia, Carnivora, Canidae.
AGAGAAAGUUUGUUGUUAUGAAUGAAAUGGAGUAACAUCAGGAACAAAGGAAGAGCUAAUCAAGCAGCUCUCCAGAACAAGAGAUCCUCAUGAUGACUUGGGGCCCACCUGGGUCAUCUGCAGGAGGCCUCUGCCAUAUAAGUUCAAGCCACCUGCUGCCAGAAGCCCCCCCGGAUCUCCAGGCUGCACACUGGACACGUCUCUUCCUGCUCAGGUCCGGGCUGCUGGGCCCCCCAUCCCACUCACAUGCACCUGCAGCCUCCACCCCAACCACUGAGUUCAGAGUGGUGACCCUGCAUCUCACGGUUGGAUAUCCCACAGCAGGAACAGAAUCACUGUUGGAUGACAACAUGUCAUCAGAUAAAGGCAAGUCCUGCUUCUCUGGUGGGGAGGAUACAUUUCAAAUCCAGUGUCUUAAGGAGCAGAGUAUUUGCAACUAGAACCCCCCCGGGGCACUGGGAUGGGGCUUCAGUCCCAGCAGAGUACAGGGGCAGCCCGGCCGCCAAUAGAAACAAUGUCAUUAAAAGACACGUUGCAGAUCCGUGGGCCUAUGAGAGGUACAGUGGUUUAGAUUUAGAAUAAUGGUAGAGAAGAGUUGCUAACGUAUCUGCCAGCCGGUUGUGCAUGAAGAUUCUGGGGGCCCUCGCUUCCUGUUCAGAUCCAGGAACCAGCCCUCCGUGUUCCUUGUCAAAUGCACCGAUCCUGGGAAGUUUCAUGCCUCCGACAGCAAGAAAAAGGCAGUGACACUGUUCUCACCCGCAAGGCCGUGGAUCCUCGGAGUCUGUCUGCACUGAGACCUUUCUCCUCUGCAGUUGCCCAGGACCGGUCCCAUGAGGACCCGUGAUGGUGCGUCACCCACCUGACUCCCCUCCCCAGUGGUCCUGGCUCCAGGACUCUCUCAGAGGUUGUCACUCUGCUCUGUGAAUGAUACUCAUGUGGACAUCUGCCAGAGGAGGCACAAAACGAUGAAUGACAGCUUGUUUUCUGCUCGUGUUGAUUUUGCCAUUCUGAACUUCACAACGCGGACAGAGAGCCAUCUCGUCUCUGUCGGUGUCUCCUGAAGGAUUUGGGCUCCAUCUCUUUCACCGCUGACCGCACCUCUGCCUCCCGCACACUGCCACCGACAGGGACGAUGGCCGAGGAGCCGUGGGUAGAACAAGAAGAGGGGUCCCUUUCACACAAGGAGGGGCUGUCCCUCGGCAGCAUGGUCUACGACUCACCUGGAAGAGCACGGGUUCAGAGUAUUGAUCAGGGGCAUUGGAAGGACCAUGGGUGUGUGGGACAAUGAACCAUCUGGAAAGCCCUUGGAGGAGGUGGGGUGGCCCUGGGCAGGACCCUCUGACAGGUGAUGCUGUAGACCAGAGAUGGCACCAGUCGGAAUGUGCUCAGGCGAAAGCCAACGUGUGGUCCCCACACAGCUCAAGCCCAAGGGCUGGCAGUGGACCAUCAGUAGCCUGGAGUCCUCCACUAGUUUAGUGUCCGACAUGAAUGGGAGUCACCCCAAAACCAACACAUCCGCCUGCAAGAGAAAUACUAAGCUGGCCAUGAAGCCCCAGAAUGAUCCCAUAGACUCAGGCCUGGAACUCCUUGGGGCAGCUGGUCAACCCCACGUGCCAGCUAGAAGGUUGGAUAGCACCCAGAGGGGGGAAACAGAGGCCAGGCCCCACACAGGACGCUGUCCAGGACUGAGGUACCCCAGCCAGAUGCCAGGACGCUCCUCCACCCCUUCCCUGCUGGCGAGGUCGGUUCCAGCCCUGGUGGGUGACUUAGAAAAAUGCAGAAGGGAGCAGUAAGAAGCGCAGGCCCCGUGAGCAGGGGCCCUCUUGGCCCCAAGGCUCUAAGGACGGUACCGACCCUGGGCCUCCAUGCCCUCAUCUGUCACUGGGAGUAAUAAAACCACCGGACCGUGUCAGGCGCAGGUCAGCUAAGAUUCUGAAUGCCAAAGAAGCCCACCAAUGCUCAGGCAUGCUAUCGACGGGAGAUGUUAUUACUCGGACAGUGUUUCAGCUUGUACACACAGAGGGGUGUGAACAUCCAUUCUGGAAAAUCACUAGGACAACAUAGAGUAAAAAAAAAGCCAACCCAACAGCUCUUCUGAUAAGCACAGACCAGCAGUGGGAAGUGGAAAAAUGAAAAUCUCUUUCUUAGAAUCCUAAAAUUUGUUUCUUUGGUGUUGCUGGGGAUUGCACCACAUUUCCUCGAAGUUCUUUCCUGGAGCUUUCGUUGCAGAGUGGGGGUGGGUUUGUUUCCUGCAGGAGAAGA